GGCCGCCUAGCUCAAUUGGAUAGAGCACCUGACUACGGAUCAGGAGGUUGCAGGUUCGAGUCCAGCGGUGGUCG
Molecule: transfer RNA, 74 nt
Filed under: Hofstenia miamia
Lineage: Eukaryota; Metazoa; Xenacoelomorpha; Acoela; Hofsteniidae
Description: tRNA-Arg for anticodon ACG
Rfam family: tRNA
About the family: Transfer RNA (tRNA) molecules are approximately 80 nucleotides in length. Their secondary structure includes four short double-helical elements and three loops (D, anti-codon, and T loops). Further hydrogen bonds mediate the characteristic L-shaped molecular structure. tRNAs have two regions of fundamental functional importance: the anti-codon, which is responsible for specific mRNA codon recognition, and the 3' end, to which the tRNAs corresponding amino acid is attached (by aminoacyl-tRNA synthetases). tRNAs cope with the degeneracy of the genetic code in two manners: having more than one tRNA (with a specific anti-codon) for a particular amino acid; and 'wobble' base-pairing, i.e. permitting non-standard base-pairing at the 3rd anti-codon position.
Source: RNAcentral